GACGAACGCUGGCGGCGUGCUUAACACAUGCCAGUCGAACGGGCCCGCUCUCUUUUUUGGGGGUGGGUUGAGUGGCGAACGGGUGAGUAUCACGUGAGUAACCUGCCCCCUGCUCCUGGAUAACUGCUUGAAAGGGCGGCUAAUACGGGGUGUGCCGGCUGGUCCGCAUGGGCCUGGUCGGGAUAGUUUCAUCUUCGGGUGUUUCGGUGGGGGAUGGGCUCGCGGCCUAUCAGCUUGUUGGUGGGGUGAUGGCCCACCAAGGCGGUGACGGGUAGCCGGCCUGAGAGGGUGGGCGGCCACACUGGGACUGAGACACGGCCCAGACUCCUGCGGGAGGCAGAAGUGGGGGGUAUUGCACAAUGGGCGGAAGCCUGAUGCAGCGACGUCGCGUGAGGGAUGGAGGCCUUCGGGUUGUGAACCUCUUUCUCCGGUGGUGAAGGCCCUGUCCGUUGCGGCGGGGUUGACGGUAGCCGGGUAUGAAGCGCCGGCUAACUACGUG
This 499-nucleotide ribosomal RNA is filed under the name uncultured bacterium. Its description in RNAcentral is "partial 16S ribosomal RNA". It matches the Rfam family "Bacterial small subunit ribosomal RNA", at positions 28 to 507 of the family's 1533-position model. The record is from RNAcentral.